This is a long non-coding RNA of Oncorhynchus keta (chum salmon), 563 nucleotides long. RefSeq lists it as uncharacterized. The record is from RefSeq and is a predicted model, not a curated record. The transcript has 3 exons. NCBI's taxonomy places the organism in Eukaryota, Metazoa, Chordata, Actinopteri, Salmoniformes, Salmonidae.
UGAACCACAGCACUCUGAAUACCACUAAGGUAGACUGAACCACAGCACUCUGAAUACCACUAAGGUAGACUGAACCACAGCACUCUGAAUACCACUAAGGUAGACUGAACCACAGCACUCUGAAUACCACUAAGGUAGACUGAACCACAGCACUCUGAAUACCACUAAGGUAGACUGAACCACAGCACUCUGAAUACCACUAAGGUAGACUGAACCACAGCACUCUGAAUACCACUAAGGUAGACUGAACCACAGCACUCUGAAUACCACUAAGGUAGACUGCACCACAGCACUCUGAAUACCACUAAGGUAGACUGCACCACAGAACUCUGAAAACCACUAAGGUAGACUGCACCACAGCACUCUGAAUACCGCUAAGGUAGACUGCACCACAGCACUCUGAAUACCACUAAGGUAGACUGCACCACAGCACUCUGAAUACCACUAAGGUAGACUGCACCACAGCACUCUGAAUACCACUAAGGUAGACUGAACCACAGCACUCUGAAUACCACUAAGGUAGACUGCACCACAGCACUCUGAAUACCACUAAGGUAGACUGC